This 459-nucleotide ribosomal RNA is filed under the name uncultured bacterium. Its description in RNAcentral is "partial 16S ribosomal RNA". It matches the Rfam family "Bacterial small subunit ribosomal RNA", at positions 338 to 795 of the family's 1533-position model. The record is from RNAcentral.
CCUACGGGAGGCAGCAGUGAGGAAUAUUGGUCAAUGGUCGGGAGACUGAACCAGCCAAGCCGCGUGAGGGAUGAAGGUACAGAGUAUCGUAAACCUCUUUUGUCAGGGAACAAAGGCGGGGACGUGUCCCCGGAUGAGUGUACCUGAAGAAAAAGCAUCGGCUAACUCCGUGCCAGCAGCCGCGGUAAUACGGAGGAUGCGAGCGUUAUCCGGAUUUAUUGGGUUUAAAGGGUGCGCAGGCGGUCUGUUAAGUAAGCGGUAAAAGCCCGGGGCUCAACCCCGGCCCGCCGUUGAAACUGGCAGUCUCGAGUUGGAGAGAAGUAUGCGGAAUGCGCGGUGUAGCGGUGAAAUGCAUAGAUAUCGCGCAGAACUCCGAUUGCGAAGGCAGCAUGCCGGCUCCACACUGACGCUGAGGCACGAAAGCGUGGGUAUCGAACAGGAUUAGAUACCCUUGUAGUC